Molecule: ribosomal RNA, 253 nt
Filed under: uncultured bacterium
Lineage: Bacteria
Description: partial 16S ribosomal RNA
Rfam family: Bacterial small subunit ribosomal RNA
Source: RNAcentral
UACAGAGGUCCCAAGCGUUGUUCGGAUUCAUUGGGCGUAAAGGGUGCGUAGGCGGCGCGGUAAGUCGGGUGUGAAAUCUCGGAGCUUAACUCCGAAACUGCAUUUGAUACUGCCGUGCUUGAGGACUGGAGAGGAGACUGGAAUUUACGGUGUAGCGGUGAAAUGCGUAGAUAUCGUAAGGAAGACCAGUGGCGAAGGCGGGUCUCUGGACAGUUCCUGACGCUGAGGCACGAAGGCCAGGGGAGCAAACGGG